Molecule: ribosomal RNA, 368 nt
Filed under: uncultured bacterium
Lineage: Bacteria
Description: partial 16S ribosomal RNA
Rfam family: Bacterial small subunit ribosomal RNA
Source: RNAcentral
CCUACGGGUGGCAGCAGUGGGGAAUAUUGCGCAAUGGGCGAAAGUCUGACCCAGCCACGCCGCGUGAAGGAUGAAGGCCUUCGGAUCGUAAAACUCUGUCAGCAGGGAAGAACGGUCACUGUGCUAAUCAUCACUGAAUUGACGGUACCUGUAAAGGACGCCCCGGCCAAUUCCGUCCGAGCAGCCGAGGUAAUACGGAGGGUGCGUGUGUUGAUCGGAAUUAGUGGGCGUAAAGCGCGCGUAGGCGGUAGGACAAGUCAAGGGUGAAAUCCCCGGGCUCAACGUGGGAACUGCCUUUGAUACUGGCCGACUAGAGAGUAGGAGAGGAUGGGGGAAUGCAAGGUGUAGGGGUGAAAUGCGUAGAUAUC